GACGAACGCUGGCGGCGUGCUUAACACAUGCAAGUCGAACGGAAAGGCCCUGCUUUUGUGGGGUGCUCGAGUGGCGAACGGGUGAGUAACACGUGAGUAACCUGCCCUUGACUUUGGGAUCACUUCAGGAAACUGGGGCUAAUACCGGAUAGGAGCUCCUGCUGCAUGGUGGGGGUUGGAAAGUUUCGGCGGUUGGGGAUGGACUCGCGGCUUAUCAGCUUGUUGGUGGGGUAGUGGCUUACCAAGGCUUUGACGGGUAGCCGGCCUGAGAGGGUGACCGGCCACAUUGGGACUGAGAUACGGCCCAGACUCCUACGGGAGGCAGCAGUGGGGAAUAUUGCACAAUGGGCGGAAGCCUGAUGCAGCAACGCCGCGUGCGGGAUGGCGGCCUUCGGGUUGUAAACCGCUUUCGCCUGUGACGAAGCGUGAGUGACGGUAAUGGGUAAAGAAGCACCGGCUAACUACGUG
This 468-nucleotide ribosomal RNA is filed under the name uncultured bacterium. RNAcentral describes it as "partial 16S ribosomal RNA". It matches the Rfam family "Bacterial small subunit ribosomal RNA", at positions 28 to 507 of the family's 1533-position model. The record is from RNAcentral.